This 731-nucleotide ribosomal RNA is filed under the name Lactococcus lactis. Its description in RNAcentral is "bacterial SSU rRNA". It matches the Rfam family "Bacterial small subunit ribosomal RNA", at positions 136 to 855 of the family's 1533-position model. Lineage: Bacteria; Bacillati; Bacillota; Bacilli; Lactobacillales; Streptococcaceae. The record is from RNAcentral.
ACGGGGGACAACAUUUGGAAACGAAUGCUAAUACCGCAUAACAACUUUAAACACAAGUUUUAAGUUUGAAAGAUGCAAUUGCAUCACUCAAAGAUGAUCCCGCGUUGUAUUAGCUAGUUGGUGAGGUAAAGGCUCACCAAGGCGAUGAUACAUAGCCGACCUGAGAGGGUGAUCGGCCACAUUGGGACUGAGACACGGCCCAAACUCCUACGGGAGGCAGCAGUAGGGAAUCCUCGGCAAUGGACGAAAGUCUGACCGAGCAACGCCGCGUGAGUGAAGAAGGUUUUCGGAUCGUAAAACUCUGUUGGUAGAGGAGAACGUUGGUGAGAGUGGAAAGCUCAUCAAGUGACGGUAACUACCCAGAAAGGGACGGCUAACUACGUGCCAGCAGCCGCGGUAAUACGUAGGUCCCGAGCGUUGUCCGGAUUUAUUGGGCGUAAAGCGAGCGCAGGUGGUUUAUUAAGUCUGGUGUAAAAGGCAGUGGCUCAACCAUUGUAUGCAUUGGAAACUGGUAGACUUGAGUGCAGGAGAGGAGAGUGGAAUUCCAUGUGUAGCGGUGAAAUGCGUAGAUAUAUGGAGGAACACCGGUGGCGAAAGCGGCUCUCUGGCCUGUAACUGACACUGAGGCUCGAAAGCGUGGGGAGCAAACAGGAUUAGAUACCCUGGUAGUCCACGCCGUAAACGAUGAGUGCUAGAUGUAGGGAGCUAUAAGUUCUCUGUAUCGCAGCUAA